UUCGAGUGGCGGACGGGUGAGUAACGCGUGGGUAACUUGCCUUACACAGGGGGAUAACACCUGGAAACAGGUGCUAAUACCGCAUAAGCGCACAGGGCCGCAUGGCCCGGUGUGAAAAACUCCGGUGGUGUAAGAUGGACCCGCGUCUGAUUAGCUUGUUGGCGGGGUAGGGGCCCACCAAGGCGACGAUCAGUAGCCGGCCUGAGAGGGUGGACGGCCACAUUGGGACUGAGACACGGCCCAAACUCCUACGGAAGGCAGCAG
Molecule: ribosomal RNA, 264 nt
Filed under: uncultured bacterium
Lineage: Bacteria
Description: partial 16S ribosomal RNA
Rfam family: Bacterial small subunit ribosomal RNA
Source: RNAcentral